Molecule: ribosomal RNA, 468 nt
Filed under: uncultured bacterium
Lineage: Bacteria
Description: partial 16S ribosomal RNA
Rfam family: Bacterial small subunit ribosomal RNA
Source: RNAcentral
GACGAACGCUGGCGGCGUGCUUAACACAUGCAAGUCGAACGGAAAGGCCCUGCUUUUGUGGGGUGCUCGAGUGGCGCACGGGUGAGUAACACGUGAGUAACCUGCCCUUGACUUUGGGAUAACUUCAGGAAACUGGGGCUAAUAUCGGAUAGGAUCUCCUGCUGUAUGGUGUGGGUUGGAAAGUGUCGGCGGUAGGGGAUGGACUCGCGGCUUAUCAGCUUGUUGGUGGGGUAGUGGCUUACCAAGGCUUUGACGGAUAGCCGGCCUGAGAGGGGGACCGGGCACAUGGGGACUGAGGGACGGCCCAGACGCCUACGGGAGGCAGCAGUGGGGAAUAUUGCACAAUGGGCGGAAGCCUGAUGCAGAAACGCCGCGUGCGGGAUGACGGGCUUCGGGUUGUAAACCGCUUUCGCCUGUGACGAAGCGGGAGUGACGGUAAUGGGUAAAGAAGCACCGGCUAACUACGUG